CCCUUAGAUGUCCUGGGCUGCACGCGCGCUACACUGAUGUGUCCAGUAAGCACCUAACCUCUUCCGAAAGGAACGGGUAACCUUUGCAAAGCACAUCGUGAUGGGGAUGGAUUAUUGCAAUUAUUAGUCUUGAACGAGGAAUUCCUAGUAAGCACAAGUCAUCAGCUUGUGUUGAUUACGUCCCUGCCCUUUGUACACACCGCCCGUCGCUCCUACCGAUUGAAUGUUCCGGUGAGCUCUUCGGACUGCGCGGUCUGCAGUUUCUGCGUUCCGUGCGGAAAGUUGCGCAAACCUUAACAUUUAGAGGAAGGAGAAGUCGUAACA
RNAcentral lists this ribosomal RNA (324 nucleotides) under uncultured eukaryote. Its description in RNAcentral is "partial 18S ribosomal RNA". It matches the Rfam family "Eukaryotic small subunit ribosomal RNA", at positions 1470 to 1796 of the family's 1831-position model. The record is from RNAcentral.